This 251-nucleotide ribosomal RNA is filed under the name uncultured bacterium. RNAcentral's name for it is "partial 16S ribosomal RNA". It matches the Rfam family "Bacterial small subunit ribosomal RNA", at positions 524 to 773 of the family's 1533-position model. The record is from RNAcentral.
UACAGAGGGGGCGAGCGUUGUUCGGAAUUACUGGGCGUAAAGGGCGCGUAGGCGGCCUUCUAAGUCGAACGUGAAAUCCCCGGGCUCAACCCGGGAACUGCGUCCGAUACUGGGAGGCUUGAAUCCGGGAGAGGGAUGUGGAAUUCCAGGUGUAGCGGUGAAAUGCGUAGAUAUCUGGAAGGAACACCGGUGGCGAAGGCGGCAUCCUGGACCGGUAUUGACGCUGAGGCGCGAAAGCUAGGGGAGCAAAC